Molecule: long non-coding RNA, 3479 nt
Filed under: Homo sapiens (human)
Lineage: Eukaryota; Metazoa; Chordata; Mammalia; Primates; Hominidae
Description: HSALNT0141104
Source: RNAcentral
CAGGGAGAUGCCAUGUAGAACAUAAAGAGGCAGAGAUCACGGAGAUGCAUCUACAAGCCAACGAACACCAAAGAUUGCAUCAAACCACCAGCAGCUAGGAGAGAGGCGUAGAACAGGUCCUCCCUCACUGCCCUCAGGAGGAACCAACCCUGCCAGCUACUUGGUCUCGGACUUCCAGCUGCCAGAACUGUGAGAUCAGAGAUCUCUGUUGGUUAAGCCACCCAGAUUGCCAUACUUUGUUAUGGCAGCCCUAGCAGGCUACUAGAGGCUUCAACCUGAAGUUAGCAAGACCGAGCAGAUGAGAGUGGAGAAUGGGUGUUGCUUGGGAAGUGCCCAGGGCUGGCUUGUUUGCAUGGAGACUUGAGGAACCAUUCACAAUUCCUGGGGAUUCACACAUAAAGAAAGAACAUCAGCAGAUCCCUGAGGAAGUUGCAAGACCCUAAUGAAGAAGCGGCUGUAUCAUAUCACCUGCCAGAUGGGGCUUAGGCAGCCUCCCAGAGCUUCCUACACCGAAGAAUCACACAGGAGCAGCAGAGCCAUCCCUGAGUGCCCAUGGGUAGCAUAGUAGCGGGAGAAGGAAACACAAGCUCUUGAAUUGCUCACUGAGCACAGGGUUGAGCAUGGGGUGCCCUGGCAGUUGCCUGCCUAACCAGAUGACAUGACAUCCCAUCCACUGUGCCUCGACACCAGCUGCAGAAAUAUCGAUGUCUAAUGAUGGAUGUCACCCCAGACCUUGCUGGGAGGUGUUAUGAAAAAUACAGUACAGGCACAGAUUUGCCCCUUAAAAACAUGAACGCUUCGGAAUUCUGAAACAUACCUGAAUCUGAACGGAACCAGGAAACCACAAACUCUGAAGCUCUGACUCCCCUUUCAGUGUCGCCCCAAGAGCCCACACUUUUGAAGGAAUAACCUCCCUGGUGAGAUGCACCAUGUCCCUGAGGGUGUGGUGGAGUUGUGACCCAGACCCUAAAGCCAAGGAAAAAUCUCUGAACAUACAACAUUCAACAAGGACAAGGACAGGGAAUGAAAGAAGUUCUGACGUUGGACAGACACAAUUCCAAAAGUGGCAUGGCUUGAUGGAUGAAGGCUCAACUUUGGGGCUGGAGAGACCUCGGUCCUAACUCUGUGCCAUCCAUGGUGGUGGAAAUCCCUGAGUCUCAGUUUCUUCAUGUGUAAAAUGGGAUAAUAAUACUUACCUAAAACAUUUGUCAUGGGAUAGUAAUACUUACCUAAAGCACUUUGUAUGGGGCCUGGUACACAGAACAUGCUCGAAAGUGAAGGCAGACAGAAACAUGAACAUUCCACGUAUGCUGAGUGACACAGAAACCCAAGCCCGAGGUUACUACCAAACACAGUUCCGCUUUGCCCUAAAUUGGCCAAAGCUCCCUCGAGGAAAGGCUAAAGCCUUAGCUUGCCUGCAAAAGCUGAGGAGGAGAAGCCAAGCAGAAGGGGCUCACUGUCUACGAAGACUUACAAACCCACGGUGGCAGGAAUGGAGCCUGGGUCCUUCUCUCCCAAGAAGACCUGAGCCCUGGGACUUGAGAAACACCAAGUGUAAGACAUCAUCAACCCCCAGGUGUUCUGAAGCCCCACUCCUUUUCUCUUUCUUGACCAUUGUGGCUGAAUGUGAAUCCCCACCUUUCCUGCCCUCCUGGGGACCUUAGGAAUUCUGCUCCUCACUGCAGGUGAGUCACAUCAGUAUCUAGAACACACAUUGCCAUUGCCUGCCCCAUCCUAGCACAGAGACUUCCCAGCCAUCCUUCAAUGCCAGCUCUCCGUGAACUUACCCCCAUCUCUUCACAGCAGAAUGGCUCAACAGGCAGGCCCACUCCAUGGUUAGGUCACCAACCAUGCUGGGUAACAGAAGAAGAGGCAGAGAAUGAACAUGGGAGAGAGAAAAGAAAUUUUUAGCCAGGUGCGGUGGCUCACGCUGUAACCCAGCACUUUGAGAGGCCAAGGCGGGUGGAUCACUUGAGGUCAGGAGUUCAAGACCAGCCUGACCAAUAUGGUAAAACCCUGUCUCUACCAAAAAUACAAAAAAUCGGCUAAGCGUGGUGGCAGGUGCCUGUAAUCCCAGCUAUUCAGGAGGAUGAGGCAGGAGAAUCGCUUGAACCCGGGAAGCGGAGGUUGCAGUGAGCCUAAAUCGUGCCACUGCACUCUAGCCUGGGUGACAGAGUGAGAUUCUGCCUAAAAAAAAAAAAAAAAGAAAAAGAAGAAAUUUUAAAAAUAAUUUGACAUUUGAUUAAUUGUUUAAAGCAUCAAAGUAUAAAAUAAAUAUCCAUGUAUCCAUACUGGUAUCAAUAAAUAAUUGAAUAAAUAAAUAAAUGUGGGAGAAAGGACAGCUUUUCCUUACAGAAGAAUUCAAAGCAAAUAAAUGUAUUAAUAAUUAAGAAAAUAGAAAAUCAUCAUUAGCCGUGUGCAGUGGCUCACACCUGUAAUCUCAACACUUUGGGAGGCUGAGGCGAGCAGACUGACUGACCUCAGGUGUUCGAGACCAGCCUGGACAACAUGGUGAAAACCCGUCUCUACUAAACUACAAAGAAUUAGCCGGGCAUGGCGGGGUGUGCCUGUAAUCCCAGCUACUUGGGAGGCUGAUACAGGAGAAUCACCUGAACAUGGGAGGCGGAGGUUGCAGUUAGCUGAGAUUGCAUCACUGCACUCCAGCCUGGGAGACAGAGCAAGACUCCAUCUCAAAAAAAAAAAAAAAAAAGUCAAGAUUGUGAGAGAUAAGGGAAGACUGAGUAACUGUCACAGGUUGGAGCUGAGUAAGGACAUAUGACAACAAAAUGCAGUGCAGAAUCCUGGAUUGGAUAUAGAAACAGGAAAAGAACAUUAGUGAAAAUAUUAGUUAAGCCUGAACAAAGUCAGUCAUCUAGUUAAUAGUAUUGUAUGUGUGUUAAUUCUGAAUUUUAAUCAUGUACUAUAGUUAUGCAACAUGUUAGCAUUAAGGAAAGCUACGUGAAGCAUUUAGGAAAACUCAAUAUUAUUUUUACAGCUUUUCUGUAUGUCUGAAAUUAUGUCAAAAUAAAAUAUAUUUUUCUUAAAAAAAUCAGGGGCCGUGCACAGUGGCUCACACCUGUAAUCACAGCACUUUGGGAGGUUGAGGCAGGAGGAUCAGUUAAGCUCAGGAGUUUGAGAGCAGCCUGGCCAACAUGGUGAAACCACAUCUCUACUAAAAAUACAAAAAUUAGCCAGGCAUGGUGGUGCAUGCCUGUAAUCCCAGCUACGCAGGAGGCUGAGGCAGGAGAAUUGCUUGAACCUGAAGGCGGAGGUUGCAGUCAGCCAAGAUUGCACCACUGCACUCCAGCCUGGACAACAGAGUAAGCUCAGUCUCUGGAAAAGAAAAAAAAAAGCAUUGGAGUAGUGGGACCAUCGUGGGUUUCCCUGCAUUAGUUGAAUGCUUGCAUCAGUUGAAUGGUUUGGUAUUGUUUCUAUUGCGAAUUCCAUAUUGGGGUUUGGGGGAGAUAGGAUGAGGCACC